UGCGCUCCUCGAGGCCAGAGCCC
Molecule: microRNA, 23 nt
Filed under: Bos taurus (domestic cattle)
Lineage: Eukaryota; Metazoa; Chordata; Mammalia; Artiodactyla; Bovidae
Description: Bta-Mir-339_3p* (star (passenger))
Source: RNAcentral